RNAcentral lists this ribosomal RNA (471 nucleotides) under uncultured bacterium. RNAcentral's name for it is "bacterial SSU rRNA". It matches the Rfam family "Bacterial small subunit ribosomal RNA", at positions 28 to 498 of the family's 1533-position model. The record is from RNAcentral.
GACGAACGCUGGCGGCGUGCUUAACACAUGCAAGUCGAACGAGAAUCUACUGAAAGAGUUUUCGGACAAUGGAUGUAGAGGAAAGUGGCGGACGGGUGAGUAACGCGUGAGGAACCUGCCUUGAAGAGGGGGACAACAGUUGGAAACGACUGCUAAUACCGCAUGACGCAUAGAGGUCGCAUGAUCUUUAUGCCAAAGAUUUAUCGCUGAAAGAUGGCCUCGCGUCUGAUUAGCUAGUUGGCAGGGUAACGGCCUACCAAGGCGACGAUCAGUAGCCGACCUGAGAGGGUGACCGGCCACAUUGGGACUGAGACACGGCCCAAACUCCUACGGGAGGCAGCAGUGGGGAAUAUUGCACAAUGGGGGAAACCCUGAUGCAGCGACGCCGCGUGAGCGAAGAAGUAUUUCGGUAUGUAAAGCUCUAUCAGCAGGGAAGAAGAAAUGACGGUACCUGACUAAGAAGCACCGGCU